ACUGUGUGUUGUUGGGUAGGGGAGCGUUCUGUAAGCCUGCGAAGGUGGCCUGUGAGGGUUGCUGGAGGUAUCAGAAGUGCGAAUGCUGACAUAAGUAACGAUAAUGCGGGUGAAAAACCCGCACGCCGGAAGACCAAGGGUUCCUGUCCAACGUUAAUCGGGGCAGGGUGAGUCGACUCCUAAGGCGAGGCCGAAAGGCGUAGUCGAUGGGAAACGGGUUAAUAUUCCCGUACCUGGUGUUACUGCGAAGGGGGGACGGAGAAGGCUAUGUUGGCCGGGCGACGGUUGUCCCGGUUUAAGCGUGUAGGCUGGUUUUCCAGGCAAAUCCGGAAAAUCAAGGCUGAGGCGUGACGACGAGGCACUACGGUGCUGAAGCAACAAAUGCCCUGCUUCCAGGAAAAGCCUCUAAGCCUCAGGUAACAUCAGAUCGUACCCGAAACCGACACAGGUGGUCAGGUAGAGAAUACCAAGGCGCUUGAGAGAACCCGGGUGAAGGAACUAGGCAAAAUGGUGCCGUAACUUCGGGAGAAGGCACGCUGACACGUAGGUGAAGCGGUUUACCCGUGGAGCUGAAGUCAGUCGAAGAUACCAGCUGGCUGCAACUGUUUAUUAAAAACACAGCACUGUGCAAACACGAAAGUGGACGUAUACGGUGUGACGCCUGCCCGGUGCCGGAAGGUUAAUUGAUGGGGUCAGCGCAAGCGAAGCUCCUGAUCGAAGCCCCGGUAAACGGCGGCCGUAACUAUAACGGUCCUAAGGUAGCGAAAUUCCUUGUCGGGUAAGUUCCGACCUGCACGAAUGGCGUAAUGAUGGCCAGGCUGUCUCCACCCGGGACUCAGUGAAAUUGAACUCGCUGUGAAGAUGCAGUGUACCCGCGGCAAGACGGAAAGACCCCGUGAACCUUUACUAUAGCUUGACACUGAACACUGGUCCUUGAUGUGCAGGAUAGGUGGGAGGCUUUGAAGUGUGGACGCCAGUCUGCAUGGAGCCGUCCUUGAAAUACCACCCUUUAAUGGCUGGUGUUCUAACGUAGACCCGUGAACCGGGUUGCGGACAGUGUCUGGUGGGUAGUUUGACUGGGGCGGUCUCCUCCUAAAGCGUAACGGAGGAGCACGAAGGUUGGCUAAUCCUGGUCGGACAUCAGGAGGUUAGUGCAAUGGCAUAAGCCAGCUUGACUGCGAGCGUGACGGCGCGAGCAGGUGCGAAAGCAGGUCAUAGUGAUCCGGUGGUUCUGAAUGGAAGGGCCAUCGCUCAACGGAUAAAAGGUACUCCGGGGAUAACAGGCUGAUACCGCCCAAGAGUUCAUAUCGACGGCGGUGUUUGGCACCUCGAUGUCGGCUCAUCACAUCCUGGGGCUGAAGUAGGUCCCAAGGGUAUGGCUGUUCGCCAUUUAAAGUGGUACGCGAGCUGGGUUUAGAACGUCGUGAGACAGUUCGGUCCCUAUCUGCCGUGGGCGCUGGAGAACUGAGGGGGGCUGCUCCUAGUACGAGAGGACCGGAGUGGACGCAUCACUGGUGUUCGGGUUGUCAUGCCAAUGGCACUGCCCGGUAGCUAAAUGCGGAAGAGAUAAGUGCUGAAAGCAUCUAAGCACGAAACUUGCCCCG
RNAcentral lists this ribosomal RNA (1604 nucleotides) under Salmonella enterica. RNAcentral's name for it is "partial 23S ribosomal RNA". It matches the Rfam family "Bacterial large subunit ribosomal RNA", at positions 1213 to 2801 of the family's 2925-position model. Lineage: Bacteria; Pseudomonadati; Pseudomonadota; Gammaproteobacteria; Enterobacterales; Enterobacteriaceae. The record is from RNAcentral.